RNAcentral lists this ribosomal RNA (478 nucleotides) under uncultured bacterium. RNAcentral's name for it is "partial 16S ribosomal RNA". It matches the Rfam family "Bacterial small subunit ribosomal RNA", at positions 28 to 507 of the family's 1533-position model. The record is from RNAcentral.
GACGAACGCUGGCGGCGUGCUUAACACAUGCAAGUCGAACGGGCUGCCUGGUUUUCGGAUCGGGUGGUGAGUGGCGAACGGGUGAGUAACACGUGAGUAACCUGCCCCUCUCUUUGGGAUAACGUCGGGAAAUCGGCGCUAAUACCGGGUAUUCUGGCUUCCUCGCAUGGGGUUGUUGGGAAAGGUUUUUUCUGGUGGGGGAUGGGCUCGCGGCCUAUCAGCUCGUUGGUGGGGUGAUGGCCUACCAAGGCGGUGACGGGUAGCCGGCCUGAGAGGGUGUCCGGCCACACUGGGACUGAGACACGGCCCAGACUCCUACGGGAGGCAGCAGUGGGGAAUAUUGCACAAUGGGCGGAAGCCUGAUGCAGCGACGCCGCGUGGGGGAUGACGGCCUUCGGGUUGUAAACCUCUUUCAGUGCAGAACAAGGCUCUUUGUGGGUUGAGGGUAUGCGCAGAAGAAGCGCCGGCUAACUACGUG